This 2413-nucleotide small RNA is filed under the name Rattus norvegicus (Norway rat). RNAcentral's name for it is "uncharacterized LOC108350397". The record is from RNAcentral. Lineage: Eukaryota; Metazoa; Chordata; Mammalia; Rodentia; Muridae.
ACUGGGUAGAUGUUUAAUGUCUUGUAAAAAUCUAAAUGUUUCGGUUUUGCUUGAUGACCAAGGUUAGCUCACAUGUGUUCUUCUGAAUGUGAUCUUUAAGAGUUGGGCAAUACGGGUGCCUGGAAGGACCCCUAAGUUCACAGAGUCUUAAAUUAGUGAUUGGCUAAGGUAACAUGAUGGCUAGAGAAAGAUGGAUGCUGGGCUCUGCUCCCCAUCCCUGCUCACAGCAAGCGGGGACUUCAUUCCGGGCUUUACUGAGACCUCAGCCGAAAGCUUAUACGUGUUCAUCGGAUCAAAUGUGAGUGUGGGGGGAACCACGAGUCAGAAGGUCCGGGCAGAGAUGCGAACAGACACAGUACAGGAAGGUGACUCCCAGAGCAGUGUGUAUAGUAAGAAAUGGGGUGUGUGAGAAGACACAGGCAUCGGUAUUCAGACUUCCAUUGUGAUGUGUAGAGUCAUUUUUUCCAGUGAGCAGCGUUAGAGCGACGUCAUAAUCAACACGCGGAUAGCUACGUGUCUCACACUGCUGGCUACCACACUUGUAGAAGCCACAAGGUCCCAGCGCAGGACAGGCGCUCCACACCACAGAGGCCCGCAGUGUACUCCAGCUGCUCUGGCUGCUUUUCAGAGUAUUCCUCCAUCCAAUCAGAAAGCCGUUGGUCUCUCUCAGAAGAGUCAGGCCAUCAUUGCACCAGUGGGCCCACCUUGCCUGGAAAAUUGGACUCUAGCAGCUAAGAUCUAUAGUCUUCUAACGAUUGGUACUGCAGCUCAGCUAUACAUGAUGAUCAACUUUAGCAAAAGUUUCCCCGUUAUGUCCAUGAAGAUUAACAGAUGAGCCUGAACAAACUUGGGCAUUGAGUCUGCCUGCUGAGGGGACCAAGGGUGUGGACUGCUCAAGUUCCUGCUCACUGAUGUGAUGGCAUUUGGAGUGAGUUCUAGGUGUUGAAGGGAGGGAGGGUGGAUCGAAUCAUCGACUAGAGUUCCAUUCCCCAUGUACUCUUGCCUUGCGUGGUAAGCUCUACCAGGCUCAACCUUUCCUCUUAAUGGCCUCCAGUUGUACCAUCUUUGUCUCAAAGUAGUCCAGAAGUUCUCGGCUUUUCUUUUUGUCUCCCUCAGAGGAAACAGAGAAAGAGGAAGGCGGCUCUUCAGAGGCCUUCAUGGACUGGAGGAUGAUUAGAAGACUACUGGUUGAGGCCUUCACAUGGCCAGUAGUACCUUUGUGUGGUCAGCCUGGGGGUGUUCUUUAGGCCGAACAUCUGGACACACCCAGUCCUUGUGGAGUUUCCCAGAGAGUCAGAGUACAUAGGCCUCCCUCUGACUCCUCCUUAGUGGGCCUCGGACAAGCUCCCACUGAUUUCUUUCUUGUCUUACACACUAGGGGGUUUGGCCCACUGUCUCUCUAAAGACGGGUUUGGUUCUGGGAUGGUAUUCAAAGUAGGCCACAUUUCUUCACAGUGGCUCUGCUUUCUUGCUUUGAUUAAAGAAAGAGCAAAAUGUUCUCCAUUUUAUAAGGCUUUGUGGUGUUAACCUUUCCAGGGCCACAGUACAAGUAGCAAAUAUGAAAAAGGACAUCAAAACCAGCCCUUUAGCCAGACAUGGUGGGGCACACCUGUGAACCAGGAGAAGGACUUUGAGUUCAAGGCCACCCAGGGCUGUAUAAUAAAGCUAUGUCUCAAAAAGUCAAAAAUAACAACAAAAAGAAAUAGCAGUUAAUACUGUCCUGAAUUUUACCCCAACUUGCAAGUAAAUAUAGGCUUCUCUUAACCCCUCUUUCUCUAAACCAGAACUUCUCAGCCUUCCCAACACUGAGUCCCUUUAACACAGCUCAUGGCAUUGUGGUGAUUGCCAAGUAUAAAGUAAAACUCGUUUUGACACUGUUAUGAAUCUGAAUGUAAAUGUAUGAUAUGCAGGAUAUCUGAUAUGUGACCCUCGCAGGGGUCACGGCCCAUAGGUUGAGAAUCAUUGCUUUAAACCCUUCUUCUAGGUGGCAUGUUGGCUGUUCCAGUAGCGUUUGCUCUUUGCAGGCCUUUCUGGAUUGGGAACUUCUGGAGAGUAGAGACAACAAACAAAACAAAAGGGUGAUUUCACCCAUCCUGCUCCUUCCCAGACACAGUAGACAUAGCGGGCAGCAUACGUGUGUGGUCUUCCUCACUCUAAGGAAUUCUCCAUCAGACAUCAGGAUAUCCUCUAAUGUAAUUCAGGCCAGACACUAUCUGUCUGGAGGAGAAACUGUCCAAUCCCACUAGGCAAGGCCUCGGUACUUAAAACUGCCUCCCUUUCAAAUGCCAGUCAAGUAAUGAAUUAUGAGCUGGACUGACCUGCAAUAAAUCAGAUUUCUAAGACCUGUUUGUAGGGUUCAAUUGACUUGGCAGAGCGGUGUCCUGGUUAGGUUUCUACUGUUGUGAUAAAACAC